UACGUAGGGGGCAAGCGUUGUCCGGAAUCACUGGGCUUAAAGCGUGUGUAGGCGGACCGUUAAGUACCUUGUGAAAUCCCACGGCUCAACCGUGGAACGGCUGGGUAUACUGGCGGUCUUGGGCCACCUAGGGGCGAGCGGAACAAGCGGUGGAGCGGUGAAAUGCGUAGAUAUCGCUUGGAACGCCGACGGUGAAAACAGCUCGCUGGGGGUGUGCCGACGCUGAGACACGAAAGCCAGGGGAGCGAACGGG
Molecule: ribosomal RNA, 253 nt
Filed under: uncultured bacterium
Lineage: Bacteria
Description: partial 16S ribosomal RNA
Rfam family: Bacterial small subunit ribosomal RNA
Source: RNAcentral